GGGGGGGGGGGGGGGGGGGGGGGGGGGGGGGGGGGCGGGGGGGGGGGGGUGGUGGGGGGGGCGGGCGGGGGGGGCGGGCGGAGGAGCCUGCCCUGGGGAGGGGGACAGCAGCUGGGAACGGCUGCUAAUACCCCAUAGGCUGAGGAGCACAAGGAGGAAUCCGCCCCAGGGGGGGCUCGCGUCUGAUUAGUUAGUUGGUGAGGCAAUGGCUUACCAAGGCGCCGAUCAGUCGCUGGUCCGAGAGGAUGAGCAGCCACACUGGGACUGAGACACGGCCCAGACUCCUACGGGAGGCAGCAGUGGGGAAUUUUCCGCAAUGGGCGAAAGCCUGACGGAGCAAUGCCGCGGGAAGGCAGAAGGCCCACGGGUCAUGAACUUCUUUUCUCGGAGAAGAAAAAAUGACGGUAUCUGAGGAAUAAGCAUCGGCUAACUCUGUG
Molecule: ribosomal RNA, 437 nt
Filed under: uncultured bacterium
Lineage: Bacteria
Description: partial 16S ribosomal RNA
Rfam family: Bacterial small subunit ribosomal RNA (bases 49-437)
Source: RNAcentral